GGGUUGUGAGGUUAAGCGACUAAGCGUACACGGUGGAUGCCCUGGCAGUCAGAGGCGAUGAAGGACGUGCUAAUCUGCGAUAAGCGUCGGUAAGGUGAUAUGAACCGUUAUAACCGGCGAUUUCCGAAUGGGGAAACCCAGUGUGUUUCGACACACUAUCAUUAACUGAAUCCAUAGGUUAAUGAGGCGAACCGGGGGAACUGAAACAUCUAAGUACCCCGAGGAAAAGAAAUCAACCGAGAUUCCCCCAGUAGCGGCGAGCGAACGGGGAGCAGCCCAGAGCCUGAAUCAGUGUGUGUGUUAGUGGAAGCGUCUGGAAAGGCGCGCGAUACAGGGUGACAGCCCCGUACACAAAAAUGCACAUGCUGUGAGCUCGAUGAGUAGGGCGGGACACGUGGUAUCCUGUCUGAAUAUGGGGGGACCAUCCUCCAAGGCUAAAUACUCCUGACUGACCGAUAGUGAACCAGUACCGUGAGGGAAAGGCGAAAAGAACCCCGGCGAGGGGAGUGAAAAAGAACCUGAAACCGUGUACGUACAAGCAGUGGGAGCACGCUUCGGCGUGUGACUGCGUACCUUUUGUAUAAUGGGUCAGCGACUUAUAUUCUGUAGCAAGGUUAACCGAAUAGGGGAGCCGAAGGGAAACCGAGUCUUAACUGGGCGUUAAGUUGCAGGGUAUAGACCCGAAACCCGGUGAUCUAGCCAUGGGCAGGUUGAAGGUUGGGUAACACUAACUGGAGGACCGAACCGACUAAUGUUGAAAAAUUAGCGGAUGACUUGUGGCUGGGGGUGAAAGGCCAAUCAAACCGGGAGAUAGCUGGUUCUCCCCGAAAGCUAUUUAGGUAGCGCCUCGUGAAUUCAUCUCCGGGGGUAGAGCACUGUUUCGGCAAGGGGGUCAUCCCGACUUACCAACCCGAUGCAAACUGCGAAUACCGGAGAAUGUUAUCACGGGAGACACACGGCGGGUGCUAACGUCCGUCGUGAAGAGGGAAACAACCCAGACCGCCAGCUAAGGUCCCAAAGUCAUGGUUAAGUGGGAAACGAUGUGGGAAGGCCCAGACAGCCAGGAUGUUGGCUUAGAAGCAGCCAUCAUUUAAAGAAAGCGUAAUAGCUCACUGGUCGAGUCGGCCUGCGCGGAAGAUGUAACGGGGCUAAACCAUGCACCGAAGCUGCGGCAGCGACGCUUAUGCGUUGUUGGGUAGGGGAGCGUUCUGUAAGCCUGCGAAGGUGUGCUGUGAGGCAUGCUGGAGGUAUCAGAAGUGCGAAUGCUGACAUAAGUAACGAUAAAGCGGGUGAAAAGCCCGCUCGCCGGAAGACCAAGGGUUCCUGUCCAACGUUAAUCGGGGCAGGGUGAGUCGACCCCUAAGGCGAGGCCGAAAGGCGUAGUCGAUGGGAAACAGGUUAAUAUUCCUGUACUUGGUGUUACUGCGAAGGGGGGACGGAGAAGGCUAUGUUGGCCGGGCGACGGUUGUCCCGGUUUAAGCGUGUAGGCUGGUUUUCCAGGCAAAUCCGGAAAAUCAAGGCUGAGGCGUGAUGACGAGGCACUACGGUGCUGAAGCAACAAAUGCCCUGCUUCCAGGAAAAGCCUCUAAGCAUCAGGUAACAUCAAAUCGUACCCCAAACCGACACAGGUGGUCAGGUAGAGAAUACCAAGGCGCUUGAGAGAACUCGGGUGAAGGAACUAGGCAAAAUGGUGCCGUAACUUCGGGAGAAGGCACGCUGAUAUGUAGGUGAAGUCCCUCGCGGAUGGAGCUGAAAUCAGUCGAAGAUACCAGCUGGCUGCAACUGUUUAUUAAAAACACAGCACUGUGCAAACACGAAAGUGGACGUAUACGGUGUGACGCCUGCCCGGUGCCGGAAGGUUAAUUGAUGGGGUCAGCGCAAGCGAAGCUCUUGAUCGAAGCCCCGGUAAACGGCGGCCGUAACUAUAACGGUCCUAAGGUAGCGAAAUUCCUUGUCGGGUAAGUUCCGACCUGCACGAAUGGCGUAAUGAUGGCCAGGCUGUCUCCACCCGAGACUCAGUGAAAUUGAACUCGCUGUGAAGAUGCAGUGUACCCGCGGCAAGACGGAAAGACCCCGUGAACCUUUACUAUAGCUUGACACUGAACAUUGAGCCUUGAUGUGUAGGAUAGGUGGGAGGCUUUGAAGUGUGGACGCCAGUCUGCAUGGAGCCGACCUUGAAAUACCACCCUUUAAUGUUUGAUGUUCUAACGUUGACCCGUAAUCCGGGUUGCGGACAGUGUCUGGUGGGUAGUUUGACUGGGGCGGUCUCCUCCUAAAGAGUAACGGAGGAGCACGAAGGUUGGCUAAUCCUGGUCGGACAUCAGGAGGUUAGUGCAAUGGCAUAAGCCAGCUUGACUGCGAGCGUGACGGCGCGAGCAGGUGCGAAAGCAGGUCAUAGUGAUCCGGUGGUUCUGAAUGGAAGGGCCAUCGCUCAACGGAUAAAAGGUACUCCGGGGAUAACAGGCUGAUACCGCCCAAGAGUUCAUAUCGACGGCGGUGUUUGGCACCUCGAUGUCGGCUCAUCACAUCCUGGGGCUGAAGUAGGUCCCAAGGGUAUGGCUGUUCGCCAUUUAAAGUGGUACGCGAGCUGGGUUUAGAACGUCGUGAGACAGUUCGGUCCCUAUCUGCCGUGGGCGCUGGAGAACUGAGGGGGGCUGCUCCUAGUACGAGAGGACCGGAGUGGACGCAUCACUGGUGUUCGGGUUGUCAUGCCAAUGGCACUGCCCGGUAGCUAAAUGCGGAAGAGAUAAGUGCUGAAAGCAUCUAAGCACGAAACUUGCCCCGAGAUGAGUUCUCCCUGACUCCUUGAGAGUCCUGAAGGAACGUUGAAGACGACGACGUUGAUAGGCCGGGUGUGUAAGCGCAGCGAUGCGUUGAGCUAACCGGUACUAAUGAACCGUGAGGCUUAACCUUACAACGCCGAAG
This 2925-nucleotide ribosomal RNA is filed under the name Escherichia coli. Its description in RNAcentral is "partial 23S ribosomal RNA". It matches the Rfam family "Bacterial large subunit ribosomal RNA". Lineage: Bacteria; Pseudomonadati; Pseudomonadota; Gammaproteobacteria; Enterobacterales; Enterobacteriaceae. The record is from RNAcentral.